AGAUUAAACUGAAGAGUUUGAUCCUGGCUCAGAUUGAACGCUGGCGGUAUGCUUAACACAUGCAAGUCGAACGGCAGCACGAGGAGAGUU
Molecule: ribosomal RNA, 90 nt
Filed under: Ignatzschineria indica
Lineage: Bacteria; Pseudomonadati; Pseudomonadota; Gammaproteobacteria; Cardiobacteriales; Ignatzschineriaceae
Description: partial 16S ribosomal RNA
Rfam family: Bacterial small subunit ribosomal RNA
Source: RNAcentral